GGGGGUAUAGCUCAGCUGGGAGAGCAGCAGACUGAAGUAAACCAGACAAAAUCUAUCUGAAUUCUGAAGGUCCCGCGUUCGAUCCGCGGUACCCCCA
Non-coding RNA from Gymnopus androsaceus JB14, 97 nucleotides. The record is from the annotation of a GenBank genome assembly. NCBI's taxonomy places the organism in Eukaryota, Fungi, Basidiomycota, Agaricomycetes, Agaricales, Omphalotaceae.